AGUAAAGACAUCACGAUAUCUCACCGUCACGGAGGUAAAGGUGGGUAGAAAACACAAAAAGACCAAUGGAGCAUAAUUUACAACAAAUCCUUUUAUCGAUAAUAAAACCUUUACCAUUUACUUACCUCGGUGAAAUUCAUAAAACGAUAUACGAAAGCAAUAACAUCAUCAUCAUCAUGAAAACAUAUAUAUGAACUGUAUAACAUAAUACCUAUCACACUUUUCGUAAUUCAAUCGUUACACAACAUAUUUUCCUAAUUCACCAGCCCACUAGUAUCCAUGGGGAUCCAUAGGGGUCCCGCUACCCGUUAAUCCUUAACACUUGAAAUCAUAUUCCAGGGCCGUCCCCAUACCCCGUCCGGUAUGGGCGCCAAACCAUAGACCUCACUACCCCGUCCGGUAUGAGGGUGAAACGGGCCGUCCCCAUACCCCGUCCGGUAUGGGCGCCAAAACACAUAAGAUCUCCAUACCCCAUCCGAUAUGGGAGACCACAAUCCCGGUAGGGUUCCCUACGGACCCGGUCCGUCCACCAUCUCCCAGGAUAUCUAGUCAGGCUGAACACAUUAUACAAUUUCCAUUCACAUAAUCUUUCAUUCUCCUUUUUCCCUCAGUCAGCAUUAUCAAUCACAUACAAACACGCAAAACGAUAAUUUAUGCCAAACAGACAACAUACAGCAUCAAUAUCCCGGUCAUUCAAUCCAUAAUCAAUAAAACAGUAAAUUAUGCACACAAAACUAUAAAAUGAAAACAUUGAACCUCAUGCUGCAUUUAAAACUGUAAAACAGGCCAAAUAACAGUUAACCGACAAACACACUAGACUCGGGCUCCAUUAGCGACCUUAAGCAAUUUCACACAUUCGUUGAUUCACGAAAUACCGUUUUAUCAUUUAUUGGACUUUAAAACUGUGAUAGGAAAUAGGGUGAGGGGUCCUUACACGGCUUCACAAUGCGC
This 951-nucleotide long non-coding RNA is filed under the name Carica papaya (papaya). RNAcentral's name for it is "long non-coding RNA (CPAP_LNC002583)". The record is from RNAcentral. Lineage: Eukaryota; Viridiplantae; Streptophyta; Magnoliopsida; Brassicales; Caricaceae.